GGUGAGCUUGAACCACCAUCCUUUCGGUUACUAUACGGAGACGAUUAGCAUGGCCCUUGCGAAUUGAUGACACGCAAAUUCGUGAAGCGUUUCCAUAUUUU
This is a small nuclear RNA of Limanda limanda (common dab), 101 nucleotides long. The record is from RefSeq and is a predicted model, not a curated record. NCBI's taxonomy places the organism in Eukaryota, Metazoa, Chordata, Actinopteri, Pleuronectiformes, Pleuronectidae.